Anopheles gambiae (African malaria mosquito) is the source of this 5625-nucleotide RNA transcript. RefSeq lists it as uncharacterized. The record is from RefSeq and is a predicted model, not a curated record. The transcript is spliced from 3 exons. NCBI's taxonomy places the organism in Eukaryota, Metazoa, Arthropoda, Insecta, Diptera, Culicidae.
ACGAACGUUUCGUCCUCAAAAAAAAGCAACUUGCUCCACGGCCAAAGUCGAAAUGUUUCAGCGCAGUGAUGCUGUCAAAAAGGGAAGCUGCGCUGACAUGCCAGUGAUUUUACGACUUCGAAACAUCAGUCUGCACCAGCUCGGAGUAACAUUUAUGAUAGGGACGCCCAGGUCAUAAAAGACGGCACAGCGAAUAGACAUGGUUAUUUUUUCUUCUUUUUUGGAGAUAAACAGCUUUCAUACUUUUAUGACUAUUCGAUAACCGGUUCGCGGGGUUACCAUACAAACGAAUGCUAAGCGUUGGAGCGUUCAAAAAGCAUGCCAACUUAAAAGCAUUCAAUCAUUGCAUGCCGACUGAAGAACAACGCCAUAUGUUUCCAUAUGUUUUUUUUUGUGACGUGAAUGGAAGUGUUUUAGCUCAAGCGGACAGUGCAGUGUAACACUUCGGGAAGUGGGAAAACGCACAACGAAUUGUGCACUGGAAAAACCCUUGGAGGAAAAAGGUGGAGACAACAAAGCAAAAAAAAAAGAAAGAAAAAACUGUAACAUGCCGUAUACCAUAGUAAUAAUUGAUGAUACCACACACGGUGAGAGACUGCUGGCUGCGCCAGAAAAAUGGGUCGUAACUCCAACCAAAGGAGUUGCACAUCUUUACUGGCCCGACACGAAUCUGGUUGACAAUGUGAGGGAACUGUGGGAAGACGAUCAAAGCGUUCCAACGGAGGAGUGGGACAAAUGGGAAUGCAAAAUAGUGCAGCAAAAUAUUGAGUCGCAAGCAAAGGCGGAAAUUUAUUUACAGAAUUUACAAAAGUUCGAUUGUACGGUUAAAGCGAGUUUGACAGCUUCGACUAGCAACGCCACUGUUACCAAUGUCACGUUGGGCUAUCCUGCUCCGCCAGCAAACCAGCCGAAUAGUGGAAGGAUGAUAAACAGCAGCUGCAACAAGACUUCAGCGUUAGAACGGGAGGUAUUGGGCCCUUCGCCGAGACCGAUGGUAUCGAGCAACCCAUUAAACCAACGAGGAGACAACAAAAGGCGUAAUAAAUUAUCAAUACAUAACACGGAUCAAUACUAUGGUCUGUAUGAAGAACUUUGCAAUUUACAGCAAAUAUUGCGAUCAUUUGUUACGUCCCCAACGGGCUCGACACAAAAGGAGCUAACAACAAGCGGACCAAAUAACCCACAUAGCGCGAGAAGCGAACCGAAAGACGAUGCCAUGGAGAUGAAACAAAAGCUAUUCGGUCUGCUUCAAGAGCUGAAGGUUAUGAUCAAAGGCGAUCAGGAAGAGACAAGAGCUAAACUGAAUGAAGUAUCGAAACAAAUCCAAUCAAACACGUCCAAGAGUCGGUUGAGAAAGAAGAGAAGAGAAGAGAAGAGAGAAACGGUUAUGGCAAAAUCGGCAAUCCCGUCUGCAACUCCGAACAAACCCAAAGUGUAUCGUCUAACGACCCUAGAUGAGGUGAAGAAGUUUGAACAUCGUUUGAAUGAUCCAAUCUUUCAGCAGAAGGCUCGCAAACGGGUGAAGCGUGCUGUUGCUCGCGAGGAUGGGCCUGGCAAAUGUAUGAAGCGCAUGUGGGACAUUAUGUUCGAUAAAGCGCCUAUCGAGAAGUUUAGCUGGGCUGGCACGAAUUCAAAAAUUGCACUGCGUGAUUACAAGAACAUCGUCGAUCUGUACAAGUACGGUGGUACCACCGAUGCAAACCACCCGGUGAAUGAUAUGCAGGUGAGAGCGUUUUUUCUUAAAAGUAUCAAGUACGCGACAGAUUUGAAGAAUAUACAGAAUUGUAACGAGAAAAAGGCACGGCAAGCGAAAUGUGAUCAAAAUCGUAAACCAUCAUCAAGCUGGUGGAGCGUGCAGGAUGCAUGGCUGGAAGAGGAUGUGCAUGAACAAGAUGAAAGCGGUGGUGUACAGGAGGAAAGUACAGAGCAGUAUAAUACCGGCGAACAGGAAGAAUACGUCGAAGAGUAUGAAUGCGUUGAUGAGAUGCAAAAUUCAGUUCCAGAGGAAAAUUGUAUAGUGUUUUGCGACUCGAUAGAAACAUUGAAUCAAUUCGAGAUCGAUUUAAAUGACCCAAAAUGCCAAGCUGAAACAAUAGAAUGGAUCGAGAAGACGUUUGGUCAUAUUGAGAAUGCGGAAGAUCGGAUGACGUUAUUGCUGGAGCGAUUAAUUGAUGAAAACGUCUUGUACAACUUUUGCUGGAUGAACGUUGGUAGUGGAAAGUGUUCGUUGAUAAAGUACAUAAACUUUAUCCGACUGUUUCAAUACACCUCCAGAACUGUACUACAUCAGGCUGUAAUGAUCGACCAUGGUUGUGUGGAAGUUUUUUUUAAGAAUUUAUUAGAUGUCUAUGAUAAUGUUGAGGUAGAACCGUCAAAUUGUACUGCUAGCAGCAUGGUUGACCUGUCUGGUGGUACAGUUGUCGGCUCGUGCGACUUAACAGCAUGCCCCGAUGGUUCAAGCCCCGAAUGGAACGUGCCUCCAAACGUAUGAUUGUGACUAUCCUGCUAUGGACAAUCAAUAACCCUCCAUUAGGCCCCUCCCAUACGUAUGAAUUACCAUGCUACAACGGGCGAACCAAUAAGUUUCUUUUAGCCAAACAUAUUAGUGGCUUAAGCAGGCCUAGAUCGACUACGAUCUUGGCGCCUAAUACUAAUAUUAAUAUGAUUAGAUUACACUUACCAAGUUAAGGUCAAAGUGAAUGUAUGUAUCAGGAGGGAUUUUCCAGUGCAAUUUGACGUCCAAGAAUGAAAAGAGAAAGUUAACCCGAUUUGAUAGUUACAUUUACAACAAACUGGGUGAUUUUAUGGUUUUUCUUUAUACUAACUCAUAAGUAUAUCCUAAAUUUUCACUAUUUUACACACAUUUUGGAAACAAUUGCCCGUCUGAUGAACGGAACUAAAGUGUCCUUAAGAUCUUAGUCUCAAUUUAAAAAAGGAGGUUUAGAAAGUAUUUGGCUUCUCAACGAGACACCGUGUCAACGUCAUGGCACACUAAAUUUUGUUAUGUUUUUCGAUGGAUUGGUGAAGAAGAAUGCUAUAAGCCCACUUAAUUACCUAUUACUCUCCAUAUAUCGUAGGUGUGAACCCGAAUUUAAAAUAAAUAAAACAAUAAACGAUGCAUACGAACGAAAUGUGAUUAAGGGCCAUGCUUCAGCUAUGAAUUCAAAAUUGGUUCUGGUUGGUUAUUUUCCGCCAUGAUCUUCUGGGUUUGAAAUAUUUCAAUCACCGCGCGCGUAGCUGACAGAUUUCGCGGACUGUCAAAUGACCGUGGCAUUGUUUUGUUUAUAUUUCUCCGUACCGCGGACUGCGCGAACACCAAGCCAGCCGACAACGCUACACGACGUGAUUUCUAGCAAAAUUAAUGGGCCUCUUGGCUGAGCAUUGUUUGUUUUAUGUUUCAAAUCGUCUGUGAAUAUCCAGAGUAAACGGAAGUACUCUAACGAUAGCUGCUGAGCCUUCAUUGUGAGUGGAGGUAAUACGAAGGAGACAACGCUUACCGGAAAUAGCGCGCGUAAAGUAAGGAUGCCGUACGUUUUGGUAAAAAAGACGAAAAGCAAUUUGGGCAGGAAGGAGGUUGCGGUAGCGCCCAGCUCUUGGAUUCACAAGGAUGGGAAAGGAACAACGUACGUUUCCUUGCCGGAUGCAGUGUGUCCCAAAAAGAUAAGAGCCCUAUUGGAGAAGGAAAGCAACCCAACGAAGGAAUGGGAAAAGCAUGAGUGUGAGAUCUUGAGCACAGAUAUUCCAACGCUAACGAUGGCGUAUACCAUCAUUGAAACGAUGCAAAAACAAAACAAAGUGCUAGGUGGUAGGCCAUCACAGCUAAUCAAAACCAGUUUAGAUAAGACGGAAAAAGCUUUGCCAACCAGACCACCGGUUCAAGAGGCCCCCAAGGUGGUAAGCAAGCAGAAACAACCGGAUAAGCCCAAAACAUUGCCGAAGCCGCACCCAGAACCUGACUACGACCCAUUUGCCGAUAUACCUAACUGGCACGUGCCCGAGAAGCAUCGCACGCCAGCUACCAGUCCAACAGAAGAUCUACAAAUGACCGUUGAGGAGUGUGAGCCAACCGACCCGUUGCAGCAGUUGUUUAGUAGUGCUGUGGUAAAUCAGGAGCAGAGCGAUGAGGAUGAUCCCUUUCGGGAUGUAAGUCCUCCCCUAAAAGAUCUGCAAUUGACAGCCAACUGCGAGCAGAGGCCGCCGGUUGAUAGUACGGAUCAGUUUUUUACCCGCAUCAACAAGGAAUUGAACAAACAACAUGACGUGCUGGGAGAUGUUUCAUAUGCUCAACUGCUCGAUCUGCUGUACGAGCUAAAGUGUAUGAUACGCACUAACCAAGAUGAGUUGCGGAGGAAAAUUAACGAGGGAUUUUCGCGGUUGCAACAAACCGUGCUGUCGGUAUUAGCCAAGGAUAAUACGGACGAUAGUGCAGCAUUCGAAGAGAAGACUGUAACUUGCAAGGAAGAGUUGGAUGAAUUGGAAAGCCGACUACAGGAUGAAGCGUAUCGUGAACAGGUGCACCGUUGGAUGGAUCAUAUCAUCCCGCCUGAAACGAAUCCCGAAUUGCGCAUGACGAACAUUCUCCAUAAACUGGUGGACAACAAGCUUUUAGCGCAGCUCGAGUGGAACCCCAAACCAACGCACCCCGAGAAGAUUCGUCUGGAGACGUACAGGCAUUUUUGCAAGCUCUUUGAAUAUGCCGGCACGACUACGGAACACGUAGCGAACGAUUGGUUCGUAGAGUGUUUCUUCAGAAAUAAACUAAAGAACAACGCCCACACCAGGGUAAACAUAAGUGAAAAGCGGAAAGGCGUAACAGAAAGUAAACCGGUAAAAAUAGCCCGAACCGAAACAGAGCUGAACACGUGUGAGGAAACGGUUAACCUAUUGGAAACGGAUACCGUUUCUACGGCAAACCAAGAUGACGAUGUAUACGAGAUAAUCGAGCUGGAUGGUGAUGAAGAUAAUGCGCCGACGACAGCAACGACUGCCACUCCCACCGAGACCACAGAGUACGUGGAGGUUUAUCAUAUAACCAGCUUUGACGGUAUGAAUGAUUUCGAGGUACGCUUGAAAGAUCCCGACUAUCUCAGCGUUGUUCACGGAUGGAUAGACAAUGCUGUUAAGCAGACGAUCGUCCCAGCCGAACGUAUGGGAAUCAUAUUAGACCAACUAGUUGAUAGCAAGUUCUUGCAGAAUUUCGAUUGGACUGGCACCCGCAAUGGAAAGGUGGCGUUAAUUGGUUACAAAAACUUCGUUCGGCUCUUUGAAUACGCCGGUACCAUUACGCCACAAAAUCGAGCGUGUCAUUGGGAUGUAGCAAAGUUUUUUCAACAGAAAUUUAAAGCCAUGAAAUAGAGCAUCGAACUAGACAUUGUCCCUAAGACCCCUUAGUAAGUAGUGUUAUGCUAAAGGUUGACCGUACGCUUUUAAUGUAAAAUUGGUUUAAGAUCCUUACAUUGUUCUCUUUUUAGCUACUACAUCUACUGCAUUGUCAUUAUAGACAGUAGCACACUUUUAUGUUUUUUUAGUGCCAAGUGGUUUGAACUAAUGUCUUAUUUGUAACCUGUUAUCUACAUAAUAAAAUAAACUAUAGUUACACAAGUCGGUGUACAACUCGCUUGUGGA